This 516-nucleotide ribosomal RNA is filed under the name uncultured Neorickettsia sp. Its description in RNAcentral is "bacterial SSU rRNA". It matches the Rfam family "Bacterial small subunit ribosomal RNA", at positions 38 to 589 of the family's 1533-position model. Lineage: Bacteria; Pseudomonadati; Pseudomonadota; Alphaproteobacteria; Rickettsiales; Anaplasmataceae. The record is from RNAcentral.
AGCGGUAGGCUUAACACAUGCAAGUCGAACGGAAUCAGGGCUGCUUGCAGCCUUGGUCCCGUGGCAGACGGGUGCGUAACGCGUGAGAACUUGCCUGGUAGUAGGGAAUAACCAGUGGAAACAUUGGGCAACACCCUAUACGCCCUGAGGGGGAAAAUUUAUUGCUAUCAGAUAGGCCCGCGUUAGAUUAGCUAGUUGGUGGGGUAAUGGCCUACCAAGGCGACGAUCUAUAGCUGGUCUGAGAGGAUGAUCAGCCACACUGGAACUGAGACACGGUCCAGACUCCUACGGGAGGCAGCAGUGAGGAAUAUUGGACAAUGGGCGAAAGCCUGAUCCAGCCAUACCGCAUGAGUGAUGAAGGCCCUUGGGUUGUAAAGCUCUUUUAGUGGGGAAGAUAAUGACGGUACCCACAGAAGAAGUCGGCUAACUCCGUGCCAGCAGCCGCGGUAAUACGGAGGGGGCUAGCGUUGUUCGGAAUUACUGGGCGUAAAGGGUGCGUAGGCGGUCCCGUAAGUU